Molecule: RNA transcript, 612 nt
Organism: Eptesicus fuscus (big brown bat)
Lineage: Eukaryota; Metazoa; Chordata; Mammalia; Chiroptera; Vespertilionidae
Exons: 3
Source: RefSeq, a predicted model, not a curated record
CGCCGCCAUUCGGGAGGCCGCCGCUCUGCAGGGCCUCGCGGCGCAACCCGGUACCGCGAGACCGGCCCCCCGCCGACAUCCGCGGUCCAGCGGCGAGGAUCGGGGCGAGCAGGCCGGGGCGUCGUCCGGGCCCGCACUCCCCGCCCGCGUCUCACGGAAGCCUAGGGCGUCCACCGAGGAGGGGCCUGCACCCCGUUAGCUCCCGCCCGGCCGGCGGAAAGACCCGCUCCCCAGAGGCCGCGGGCGGAGAGGACGCUGCGGGACUGGAGGGUGGGGAAGCAGGUUUAACUUCUCAUCUUUGUCCUUCUGCAUGUACUCCAGGCUGUUUUCUGUGGUUUAGUAAAAAAAGCCAUGUAAAUUGCUGCCCUUUGAAGACUUUUUUAAAGACUUCUAGUAAGACAGCUGAUGUGUAACAGUAAAGAAUUCUGGGAGAAAUUCAGGAGUUUACAGGAUAGAAAUGCUUUGGAUACAAAGAAGAUAGGGAUAACCAUUUACAAGAAGCUGCCAGCUUUCCACCAAAAUGCAGCCCAACAGAAGAUCACACAGAGAAGACAGAUGGCAUUUUUCUAAACUUAACAAAAUUUAAAAAAGGAUUUAAGCUGAUCUUUCAUA